CUUUCUGCCUGUGACUCUGUGUGUGUGACUGUCUGCCUGUGACUGUGUCACACAGUCACAGGCAGACAGUCACACACAUACACACACA
RNAcentral lists this microRNA precursor (88 nucleotides) under Pelobates cultripes (western spadefoot toad). The record is from RNAcentral. Lineage: Eukaryota; Metazoa; Chordata; Amphibia; Anura; Pelobatidae.